UUCCGGUUGAUCCCGCCGGACCUGACUGCUAUCGGAUUGAUACUAAGCCAUGCGAGUCUUUGCAGUAAUGCAAGGCAUACGGCUCAGUAACACGUAGUCAACUUACCCUAUGGACGAGGAUAAUCUCGGGAAACUGAGCAUAAUACUCGAUAGAUCAUAAUGCCUGGAAUGGUUUAUGGUUGAAAUGAUUCGUCGCCAUAGGAUGGGACUGCGGCCUAUCAGCUUGUUGGUGAGGUAAUGGCCCACCAAGGCGAUUACAGGUACGGGCUCUGAGAGGAGAAGCCCGGAGAUGGGUACUGAGACAAGGACCCAGGCCCUAUGGGGCGCAGCAGGCGAGAAAACUUUGCAAUGUGCGAAAGCACGACAAGGUUAAUCCGAGUGAUUUCUGCUAAAGAAAUCUUUUGCAAGUCAUAAAACCACUAGUGAAUAAGGGGUGGGCAAGUUCUGGUGUCAGCCGCCGCGGUAAAACCAGCACCUCAAGUGGUCAGGAGGAUUAUUGGGCCUAAAGCAUCCGUAGCCUGUUCUAUAAGUUUGCGGUUAAAUCUAUACGCUCAACGUAUAGGCUGCCGUAAAUACUGUAGAACUAGGGAGUGGGAGAGGUAGACGGUACUCGGUAGGAAGGGGUAAAAUCCUUUGAUCUAUCGAUGACCACCUGUGGCGAAGGCGGUCUACCAGAACACGUUCGACGGUGAGGGAUGAAAGCUGGGGGAGCAAACCGGAUUAGAUACCCGGGUAGUCCCAGCUGUAAACGAUGCAGACUCGAUGAUGCAAUGGCAUAGAGCUAUUGCAGUAUCGCAGGGAAGCCGUUAAGUCUGCCGCCUGGGAAGUACGUACGCAAGUAUGAAACUUAAAGGAAUUGGCGGGGGAGCACCACAAGGGGUGAAGCCUGCGGUUCAAUUGGAUUCAACGCCGGG
Molecule: ribosomal RNA, 914 nt
Filed under: uncultured marine archaeon
Lineage: Archaea
Description: bacterial SSU rRNA
Rfam family: Archaeal small subunit ribosomal RNA
Source: RNAcentral